AACACAGAAGUUAAGCUCCUUAGCGUCGAUGGUAGUCGAACUUACGUUCCGCUAGAGUAGAACGUUGCCAGGC
This 73-nucleotide ribosomal RNA is filed under the name Staphylococcus aureus M1057. Lineage: Bacteria; Bacillati; Bacillota; Bacilli; Caryophanales; Staphylococcaceae. The record is from RNAcentral.